Long non-coding RNA from Neopsephotus bourkii (Bourke's parrot), 3353 nucleotides. RefSeq lists it as uncharacterized. The transcript is spliced from 3 exons. Lineage: Eukaryota; Metazoa; Chordata; Aves; Psittaciformes; Psittacidae. The record is from RefSeq and is a predicted model, not a curated record.
ACUUCAUCUGCUAGUUAAGCAAUUGCAAGCUUUUUUUUGGGGGGGAAAGAGUAUGUAACUCUAGUGUUUUGUCCAUCUGUCAGCAACUGCAAAAGUGGUCUCCGUGGCAUAUCCUACUUAUUCCUACUUCAACCGCUGUUUCGAAGUACCUACACAAGACUGACUCCUCCAACCAGGUGCCAGGGUUCCUGCACAUCUGAAGGAAGACUGUCAGACCUGAAGACACUGCUUACAAAACAUGUCCAUGUGGGUAUUAUUAGCAAAAGCAUCUAUUUUAAAGAUCCUGGUCCCCGGGCCGGGACUGGCAAGAUGCCUGUUGAUUUCAGUGGGAAGAGGAUCAGGCCCAGUCCUGCAGAUGUUACUCACGCAAGUGCUCGGCUCCACCCAUUGUUUCUCACAUCACUGCAUGCUCUACUACUUAAAACACAGGGACAGAAUGGAACAAUGGAGCCUGGCACACAGUGCUGCCCUUAUUACAUGCUGCCCCUCAAAGCUCUUUGUCACCACUUGGCUGCGGACUGAUAACACGCAGCCUUUUGCACCUACAAUUGCCAAUAUCGGGCCAUUUGCAAUCGGAUCUUAGUGGGAGUCAUGCACCCAUCGUCUUUGUGUGUCAAGGACCACGGCUUUUCUGGCCUGUGGGAAAGUCAAAAAUCAACAAAACCAUCUCAAAUACUGCGGCAUUUGCUCUUUUUCUUGAAGUCCCAGUUCCUGGAGUCAUGUUUCUUCUUGAGAAACUUGGCUUUCAGUUAAAAACUAAUCUUUCCGGGUUCCCAUAAUUGCAGAGGAUAGCCUGAAAAUCUGGCUUCAGAGUUUCCCAAGAGGAAAUAAAAAGCCAAUAAACAAAUAAAAAGAACUGGAAGUUUUUCUUGGUUUGAUGUCAUUUGUUGAUUUUUCUUAACAUCACUAUUUUAAGCAGUUCUCCUUUUUUUUGUGUCCUGUCAAAUUAUUUUUGAGUGCUUUAGAAUUUUGCUCUAAGCUAAAUCCUGAUUCAGGCUGCCAUCACUGAAGAUUAAAAAAAAAAAAUGUUUCUUCACUUGUUUGUCAGCAUUAUCCAAUAUUCAUUAAUUAUAUUUUUAUACCCAUUCUUUUAUAGUGAUGCUUUAAACCUCUUUAUUGGAUUAGAGACAAACUUGAGAAACAAAGUCCAUUCGCAAUCUAGAAAACCCUCAAGGCAACUGAGACACUUGGAUCUCAUUUUAUGCUUAUGAAGCUGGUGUAGAAAUUGUAAAAAUAUACCUGUGAGAUACUCUAGACUGAGAAACAAAAGCUGACUGUGGCCCCUUUGCAAUUGGAUAAUUUACAAAUAAGUAUGUAAUGGGGCUUUAGUUGCUGACCUGUGUAAUGUUCACUAUUUCAGUAUUUUCAACUCAAAUAAAAUGCUGCUCAUUAGAAAAAUGUUCAGCUUGCAUUAUUUCAGUACUCAAAACUGCUAUUCUCUAAGCAGAACUGAAAUAGAAAACAGGGAUUUAUUUUAUUUAUAUGUAUAUAUGUAUCUACACAUACAAAUACACUUUACUCUUCCCUCUCUACUUUCUGCCUUUACAAGACAAAAUACGCAGAUUGGACAACUGCAGACAUUAGGAAGAAACCCUUACAAUGCUUAAAGAAAAGAAAAGAAAGAACAGUGUUUGCUCAGUGUCUGCAUAUUUCAUGCACAUUGGUGCAAGAGCAUAUUAGCUGUAACCCUCACUUUGCAUUGUUGAUUAAAGAAAAAAUGACAGAGGAAAGAAUGAGACUUUCAGUGCAGCUGGGUCAGCUCGUACCACGGGACUCCUGUCUGGCACUGGUGUGGCCCAGCUGCGCAGAGUAUCUUAUGCCAAUGUCACGACCCAGCUACUACAAACGAGAGCUAUUGCACAGUGGUAGCAACAGGCUGCCGGGGCUGUAAAUACACAGCCCUGUCUCGUCCCCAGCCACCUGGAACCAUGCCUGGCUGAGGAAAGUUCCUGCUCACAGACUGGCACCAACGGAGACAUUGAUGCACUCCAGAAUUUAUGUCCCUCUACACUUCAGCUGCUUACAAUAACUUUCCCCAUGAAGUACCAGGAGGUGGGCUGGGCUGUCAGUGCCAGGCUCACCACCCCCAGAAAGAAACCCUAUGCAUUUCCCCAUGCAUAUCCAGCCCCGACAGCCAUCCUUCUCCAUGACCCACCAUCACAUAACAAGCUGCCCAUAGAGAAAUACUCUGAAGAAGCUAUUUCACGUUAUUUUUUACAGAAUUUGAGCCUCGGCCCACCAAAACACACCCAUGAAGGUCUCUGGAUUGUCCUUUAAAGAAUUAUAUCACCAUACCAAAAUGAAAAUGACAUUUGUUUCUGAUGCUGUAAGUGAACUGCAGGAGGUUGUGGAAGACAUUUUCAGCAGCAAGGAAUUAAACUAACAACACCCCACCCCACCCCAACAAUAACAGUGCAGCAAGCUUUGAGACAACUUAAAUACAUCUGACUCCAGGUCUAGUCCUGCCAGCCAAAUAGGGCAACGUUAUGUUGGGGAAGUAAGGCUUGGAAACCUAGCGUGGCCUGUUCUGCUCAUCCCUCCCAGCCUUCUGGAUCCCUGCUGAAGUUCUAAGAGUUUUAGGGAAAAAAACAGCAAGUGGGUAUCCUGGACCCUUUUGAGAAGGGUAGCAAUGACUGAAGAAAACGUACUUUGAUUUUGGUGCACACAUGAGUGAGACUCAAGGACGUAUUUCUGUAAAAACUAAUAGCAAUAUGCACUGUGUCAGCCUAUCAGGUGAUGGGAGAACCAGCAAGAGAGCUUAAGAAACUGCAUUGCCAUGGAAAUAAGAUGAUGCUGCUGACAGUGUGCCUCAGCUUGGGAAAAAUGAUGGGACAAGAUAAAAAUACCAGGGGAACACAGUGCUAUCAGGACUGACUUCAAGUGUAUAUACCUGCAACACGUUCUCAUGUGUUAGCAGUAAUGCAUGGACUUUUAUUUAUGCUUUUAAUACAGACCAAACAAACCCAAGAGUAAGUCAUGUAGAAACUUAAAAUUACUAUUUCCUUCUCAAUUCUCCCCAAGGGACUUCAGGUCUAAUUUAAGCAUAGAAAAUUAGAGGCAUCAAGACUACUCAGGGGUGAAACUAUGAUCUGGGGGCAAAAAAAAGGUGAUUGAUUCUUCGGGAAAAUAUCUAUUCCCUUUUAAAAUGGGAAAAAAGGGUACCUGUUUGGGGUAUUCACACACCCAGAAGACUGAUGCAUUUACAGUGCAAAAAAAUAACAUACCAUCCAUGCUGAGAAGUCAGGAUCUGUCAACUGACCUCACCGUGACUGCACAAGGAGCAUUACUGCCAAAGGCAAACUUCAAAGAAUUUUCAGAUACUGAAUGUCUGUCUUUUGUUUUGUUAUGUUAAU